Molecule: ribosomal RNA, 253 nt
Filed under: uncultured bacterium
Lineage: Bacteria
Description: partial 16S ribosomal RNA
Rfam family: Bacterial small subunit ribosomal RNA
Source: RNAcentral
UACGUAGGAUGCAAGCGUUGUCCGGAAUUAUUGGGCGUAAAGAGCGCGCAGGCGGUAUGACAAGUCAGAUGUGAAAGAGGCCGGCUUAACCGGCAAGGGUCAUUUGAAACUGUCAGACUAGAGUGCAGCAGAGGAUAGUGGAAUUCCCGGUGUAGUGGUGAAAUGCGUAGAUAUCUGGAGGAACACCGGUGGCGAAGGCGGCAUCCUGGACCGAGAUUGACGCUGAGGCGCGAAAGCCAGGGGAGCAAACGGG